This 224-nucleotide ribosomal RNA is filed under the name uncultured Pseudomonas sp. RNAcentral describes it as "partial 16S ribosomal RNA". It matches the Rfam family "Bacterial small subunit ribosomal RNA", at positions 568 to 791 of the family's 1533-position model. Lineage: Bacteria; Pseudomonadati; Pseudomonadota; Gammaproteobacteria; Pseudomonadales; Pseudomonadaceae. The record is from RNAcentral.
CGCGUAGGCGGAUGGUUAAGUCGGAUGUGAAAUCCCCGGGCUCAACCUGGGAACUGCAUUCAAAACUGACGAGCUAGAGUAUGGUAGAGGGUGGUGGAAUUUCCUGUGUAGCGGUGAAAUGCGUAGAUAUAGGAAGGAACACCAGUGGCGAAGGCGACCACCUGGACUGAUACUGACACUGAGGUGCGAAAGCGUGGGGAGCAAACAGGAUUAGAUACCCCCUA